AUCAGUGUACCAAUAACGGCCUAACAACCGGUAUGAAACACAUUAGACAGCAUUUAACCCAAUGAUAGGUUGUAUAGGGUCUGUAAGUCUCGUUUGGUUUCACUUUCGGUUUUACUACUUCCGGGUACAACAACAUGUGGAAUAUAUUAAGUCAUAACAGAGAAUCGGCGCUAAUAUGUAAUUUGGUGUAUUGUUAAGCGAUCAGCUGCAUACAUGAGACUGGGAAAACCCUGCCAUGUAGUUUAUUUAGGUUCCUAGUCGAUGCUACAGUAAGGAAGCGGUGGAUAUAGUCACGAAACCUGCUGAAGCAGAAGCAUCUGCUUCAAACGUACAUGUAGGAACCGAAGUUGAUACUGCUACCAAUAUAUAUGUACCAGACAACAAUGAAGUGCAUCUACAUGAUCACGAGUAUACAGCACCAAACCCUCAACAUUUAAAAAGCUUCCCUUGAAGACUAGGAUGUUGUAAACUUGCAGUGAGAAAUAUACCUGCUUAAUUAAAGAAAACCAUCCUGGACAAUUGGUAACAUCAUAAUUGAAAGACCCUGGAAAGGGAUCAUGAACACUGUUGGGAGUGUCCAUUCAACUGAAAUAUAAAAGUCAGAAGAAUUGAAGAUUGCAAUGGAUGCAACAGAAGUGACCUAAUAUGACCAAAUUGAUAUGAAUAGCCAGUUUUUCGCUUGCAGUAAUGACAAGAGUCGCCACAAAGAAAAGACCUUAAUGUGUAUUACACCUAAUGCAGCUUAUCCAAUCUGUAUGCUGGAUACAAAUCUAAUUUGGCAAUUGUGAACCAUUGUGGCAUUUUAGAGAAGUUGCAAGUUGGUGAUAUAUUCCUGGCGGACAAAGGAUUUUGUAUAUUUGACAAACUUCCAAAUGACAUGACACUUAAUAUCCCAUUCUUUCUUACAAAUAAAUCCCACUUCUCAAAAGAGGAUGCACAACUUUGCUAUAAAAUUUCCAGAUGCAGAAUCCAUGUUGGAUGGGAAAAUGAGAGAAUAAUUUUUUUUUUAAAUUCCUUAGCCAUAUUCUAUCAUAGUAUAGAUAUUGAUCUGACAAAAUAUUUCAGAUUUGUGUGGAUCUUGUGAAUUUGCAGGUUCCCCUUUUGAAGAAGAUUGCAGAUAAAUCCUACAAACUUAUUACAUUAAUUGCAUGUAUAUAUAUACCUUAAAUAUGCACAUACCUGCCACAUUGAAUUUUUAAAGUUAAAAGUAAUGAAUACCAUAUAUGCAAUAUAACUUUUCUACAUAUUUAUAUAAAUAUAAAGCCUUUUAUAUUCAUAUCAAUAUAAAGCCCUUUGGAACGUCUCCAUCAGAAUGAAAUAUUCUCUAGAGGAACGUUAAACAAUAUACAAUCAAACAUAAAGCCUUUUGUUCUCAUUCUGAAGAUUUUCAAAUCUGCAUUAUUAAGAAAGAAGUAAAAUCCAUUGUUUUAGUAAAUGCAUGUAAUUGAAUGAUUUUUGUAAAGCUGGACACUGUGUCUAUACAUACAUGUAUUUUGGUUCAUCUAAAAUAAGAAAAACUCUGUCUAUAAUGUUUAUUCAAUAAAUAUACAUGUAAUUACAUAACUUUGAUAGAUGCACCACUGAUAUCAUAAUAAAGUAUAUGUACAUGUG
Long non-coding RNA from Ostrea edulis (European flat oyster), 1611 nucleotides. RefSeq lists it as uncharacterized. NCBI's taxonomy places the organism in Eukaryota, Metazoa, Mollusca, Bivalvia, Ostreida, Ostreidae. The transcript has 4 exons. The record is from RefSeq and is a predicted model, not a curated record.